UAAUACAGAGGUCUCGAGCGUUAAUCGGAGUUACUGGGCUUAAAGGGUGCGUAGGCGGCGCUGUAAGUGCUUUGUGAAAUCCCAUGGCUUAACCAUGGAAUUGCUCGGCAGACUGCAGUGCUUGAGGUCGGUAGGGGUCGCUGGAACUCUAGGUGGAGCGGUGAAAUGCGUAGAUAUCUAGAGGAACGCCAAAGGUGUAGACAGGCGACUGGGCCGAUUCUGACGCUGAGGCACGAAAGCGUGGGUAGCGAACGGGAUUAGAUACCCCGGUAGUCCACGCCCUAAACGAUGUGUACUAGAUCGUGGAGGCUCUGACGCCCCCAUGGUCGAAGCUAAAGUGCUAAGUACACCGCCUGGGGAGUACGGUCGCAAGGCUA
Molecule: ribosomal RNA, 377 nt
Filed under: uncultured bacterium
Lineage: Bacteria
Description: bacterial SSU rRNA
Rfam family: Bacterial small subunit ribosomal RNA
Source: RNAcentral